UAGAUGAGGAUGAAGCAAAAUACUAUUAAUCCAACACUUGAUCUGAGAUAAUCUAUUCGUUUAUCUUUUGAUGUUAUGUGUAGCUUCUGAAUCUAC
RNAcentral lists this small nucleolar RNA (96 nucleotides) under Cucumis melo (muskmelon). Its description in RNAcentral is "Small nucleolar RNA snoR31". It matches the Rfam family "Small nucleolar RNA snoR31". Lineage: Eukaryota; Viridiplantae; Streptophyta; Magnoliopsida; Cucurbitales; Cucurbitaceae. RNAcentral also lists the same sequence under 1 other name. The record is from Rfam by way of RNAcentral.